Molecule: long non-coding RNA, 218 nt
Filed under: Gallus gallus (chicken)
Lineage: Eukaryota; Metazoa; Chordata; Aves; Galliformes; Phasianidae
Source: RNAcentral
GGAUUUUCAGCAAAGGCAUAGUGGUGAAUUAUUGUAGAUUCUUCAUCAUAUAAUGCUUUACCUAAAAACCACUCCUUAGAGGUGUCAAAUCUUCUAAGUAUUUCUAGCAGCUUUACAACUUGUAUUCUUGUAUCUUCUUCACAGAAGAAAAUCCAUGAGGAGUUCCUACCGUAGGCAACAGAGAAAUCUCUCAUUAGUGGUAAUAUGGUCCAUGCACC